Molecule: non-coding RNA, 681 nt
Organism: Pelobates cultripes (western spadefoot toad)
Lineage: Eukaryota; Metazoa; Chordata; Amphibia; Anura; Pelobatidae
Source: the annotation of a GenBank genome assembly
UAUUAGAGGAAACAGUUGAUUGUUGGGGCCAGGGUUAUGUGUGGGUAUUAGGGAAGCAGUGCAUUGUGAGGGCAUGGGUUAUGUGUGGGUAUUAGGGAAGCAGUGCAUUGUGGGGGCACGGGUUAUGUAUGGGUAUUAGGGAAGCAGUGCAUUGUGGGGGCACGGGUUAUGUGUGGGUAUUAGGGAAGCAGUGCAUUGUGGGGGCAUGGGUUAUGUGUGGGUAUUAGAGAAGCAGUGCAUUGUGGGGGCACAGGUUAUGUAUGGGUAUUAGGGAAGCAGUGCAUUGUGGGGGCACGGGUUAUGUGUGGGUAUUAGAGGAAACAGUUCAUUGUUGGGGCCAGGGUUAUGUGUGGGUAUUAGGGAAGCAGUGCAUUGUGGGGGCAUGGGUUAUGUGUGGGUAUUAGGUAAGCAGUGCAUUGUGGGGGCAUGGGUUAUGUGUGUGUAUUAGAGGAAACAGUUCAUUGUUGGGGCCAGGGUUAUGUGUGGGUAUUAGAGAAGCAGUGCAUUGUGGGGGCACGGGUUAUGUGUGGGUAUUAGGGAAGCAGUGCAUUGUGAGGGCACGGGUUAUGUGUGGGUAUUAGAGGAAACAGUUCAUUGUUGGGGCCAGGGUUAUGUGUGGGUAUUAGGGAAGCAUUGCAUUGUGGGGGCACGGGUUAUGUGUGGGUAUUUGAUGGAACAGUU